AUUGAACGCUGGCGGCAUGCCUUACACAUGCAAGUCGAACGGCAGCACGGGAGCAAUCCUGGUGGCGAGUGGCGAACGGGUGAGUAAUAUAUCGGAACGUGCCCAGUCGUGGGGGAUAACGUAGCGAAAGCUACGCUAAUACCGCAUACGAUCUAUGGAUGAAAGCGGGGGAUCGCAAGACCUCGCGCGAUUGGAGCGGCCGAUAUCAGAUUAGGUAGUUGGUGAGGUAAAGGCUCACCAAGCCGACGAUCUGUAGCUGGUCUGAGAGGACGACCAGCCACACUGGGACUGAGACACGGCCCAGACUCCUACGGAGGCAGCAGUGGGGAAUUUUGGACAAUGGGCGCAAGCCUGAUCCAGCAAUGCCGCGUGCAGGAUGAAGGCCUUC
This 388-nucleotide ribosomal RNA is filed under the name uncultured bacterium. RNAcentral's name for it is "bacterial SSU rRNA". It matches the Rfam family "Bacterial small subunit ribosomal RNA", at positions 30 to 419 of the family's 1533-position model. The record is from RNAcentral.